GAUGAACGCUGGCGGCGUGCUUAACACAUGCAAGUCGAACGAAGCCUUUCGGGGCUUAGUGGCGGACGGGUGAGUAACGCGUGAGGAUCUGCCUACAGGAUGGGGACAACAGAGGGAAACUUCUGCUAAGACCCAAUGUGCCGAGAGGUGAAAUAUUUUAUAGCCUGUAGAUGAGCUCGCGUCUGAUUAGCUAGUUGGUGAGGUAAGAGCUUACCAAGGCGACGAUCAGUAGCUGGUCUGAGAGGACGAUCAGCCACACUGGGACUGAGACACGGCCCAGACUCCUACGGGAGGCAGCAGUGGGGAAUUUUCCGCAAUGGGCGAGAGCCUGACGGAGCAACGCCGCGUGAGGGAGGAAGGCCUGUGGGUUGUAAAACCUCUUUUCUCAGGGAAGAAGUUCUGACGGUACCUGAGGAAUCAGCAUCGGCUAACUCCGUGCCAGCCGCCGCGGUAAU
RNAcentral lists this ribosomal RNA (455 nucleotides) under uncultured bacterium. RNAcentral describes it as "bacterial SSU rRNA". It matches the Rfam family "Bacterial small subunit ribosomal RNA", at positions 28 to 524 of the family's 1533-position model. The record is from RNAcentral.